This 253-nucleotide ribosomal RNA is filed under the name uncultured bacterium. RNAcentral's name for it is "partial 16S ribosomal RNA". It matches the Rfam family "Bacterial small subunit ribosomal RNA", at positions 524 to 776 of the family's 1533-position model. The record is from RNAcentral.
UACGAAGGGGGCUAGCGUUGUUCGGAAUUACUGGGCGUAAAGGGCGCGUAGGCGGUCCCUCAAGUCAGGCGUGAAAGCCCCGGGCUCAACCUGGGAACCGCGCUUGAGACUGAUGGGCUAGAGUUCGGGAGAGGAUGGUGGAAUUCCCAGUGUAGAGGUGAAAUUCGUAGAUAUUGGGAAGAACACCGAUGGCGAAGGCAGCCAUCUGGACCGACACUGACGCUGAGGCGCGAAAGCUAGGGGAGCGAACAGG